CCUACGGGUGGCUGCAGUGAGGAAUAUUGGUCAAUGGACGAGAGUCUGAACCAGCCAAGUAGCGUGAAGGAUGACUGCCCUAUGGGUUGUAAACUUCUUUUAUAUGGGAAUAAAACGUUCCACGUGUGGGAUUUUGUAUGUACCAUAUGAAUAAGGAUCGGCUAACUCCGUGCCAGCAGCCGCGGUAAUACGGAGGAUGCGAGCGUUAUCCGGAUUUAUUGGGUUUAAAGGGUGCGUAGGCGGUCCGGAAAGUCAGCGGUAAAAGCCCGGGGCUCAACCCCGGCGAGCCGUUGAAACUGUCGGACUAGAGACGGCGAGAAGUACGCGGAAUGCGCGGUGUAGCGGUGAAAUGCAUAGAUAUCGCGCAGAACUCCGAUUGCGAAGGCAGCGUACCGGCGCCGGACUGACGCUGAGGCACGAAAGCGUGGGUAUCGAACAGGAUUAGAUACCCGGGUAGUC
Molecule: ribosomal RNA, 459 nt
Filed under: uncultured bacterium
Lineage: Bacteria
Description: partial 16S ribosomal RNA
Rfam family: Bacterial small subunit ribosomal RNA
Source: RNAcentral